AUUGAACGCUGGCGGCAGGCUUAACACAUGCAAGUCGAGCGGGGGAAGGUAGCUUGCUACUGGACCUAGCGGCGGACGGGUGAGUAAUGCUUAGGAAUCUGCCUAUUAGUGGGGGACAACAUCUCGAAAGGGAUGCUAAUACAGCAUACGUCCUACGGGAGAAAGCAGGGGAUCUUCGGACCUUGCGCUAAUAGAUGAGCCUAGGUAGGAUUAGCGAGUUGGUGGGGUAAAGGCCUACUAAGGCGACGAUCUGUAGCGGGUCUGAAAGGAUGAUCAGCCACACUGGGACUGGGACACUGGCCCGACUCCUACAGGAGGCAGCAGUGGGGAAUAUUGGACAAUGGGGGGAACCCUGAUCCAGCCAUGCCGCGUGUGUGAAGAAGGCCUUAUGGUUGUAAAGCACUUUAAGCGAGGAGGAGGCUACUCUAGUUAAUACCUAGGGAUAGUGGACGUUACUCGCAGAAUAAGCACCGGCUAACUCUGUGCCAGCAGCCGCAGUAA
Molecule: ribosomal RNA, 501 nt
Filed under: uncultured bacterium
Lineage: Bacteria
Description: partial 16S ribosomal RNA
Rfam family: Bacterial small subunit ribosomal RNA
Source: RNAcentral